CCUAGAGUUGUAGGCUUUGCCUGCUAUCUCUUACCCAUGUCUUUUGAGUACCUUACGUUUCCUCGGCGGGUCCGCCCACCGAUUGGACAAAUUUAAACCAUUUGCAGUUGCAAUCAGCGUCUGAAAAAACUUAAUAGUUA
RNAcentral lists this unclassified non-coding RNA (140 nucleotides) under soil metagenome. Its description in RNAcentral is "partial internal transcribed spacer 1". The record is from RNAcentral.